RNAcentral lists this ribosomal RNA (2906 nucleotides) under Escherichia coli. RNAcentral's name for it is "23S ribosomal RNA". It matches the Rfam family "Bacterial large subunit ribosomal RNA". The record is from RNAcentral. Lineage: Bacteria; Pseudomonadati; Pseudomonadota; Gammaproteobacteria; Enterobacterales; Enterobacteriaceae.
GGUUAAGCGACUAAGCGUACACGGUGGAUGCCCUGGCAGUCAGAGGCGAUGAAGGACGUGCUAAUCUGCGAUAAGCGUCGGUAAGGUGAUAUGAACCGUUAUAACCGGCGAUUUCCGAAUGGGGAAACCCAGUGUGAUUCGUCACACUAUCAUUAACUGAAUCCAUAGGUUAAUGAGGCGAACCGGGGGAACUGAAACAUCUAAGUACCCUGAGGAAAAGAAAUCAACCGAGAUUCCCCCAGUAGCGGCGAGCGAACGGGGAGCAGCCCAGAGCCUGAAUCAGUGUGUGUGUUAGUGGAAGCGUCUGGAAAGGCGCGCGAUACAGGGUGACAGCCCCGUACACAAAAAUGCACAUGCUGUGAGCUCGAUGAGUAGGGCGGGACACGUGGUAUCCUGUCUGAAUAUGGGGGGACCAUCCUCCAAGGCUAAAUACUCCUGACUGACCGAUAGUGAACCAGUACCGUGAGGGAAAGGCGAAAAGAACCCCGGCGAGGGGAGUGAAAAAGAACCUGAAACCGUGUACGUACAAGCAGUGGGAGCACGCUUAGGCGUGUGACUGCGUACCUUUUGUAUAAUGGGUCAGCGACUUAUAUUCUGUAGCAAGGUUAACCGAAUAGGGGAGCCGAAGGGAAACCGAGUCUUAACUGGGCGUUAAGUUGCAGGGUAUAGACCCGAAACCCGGUGAUCUAGCCAUGGGCAGGUUGAAGGUUGGGUAACACUAACUGGAGGACCGAACCGACUAAUGUUGAAAAAUUAGCGGAUGACUUGUGGCUGGGGGUGAAAGGCCAAUCAAACCGGGAGAUAGCUGGUUCUCCCCGAAAGCUAUUUAGGUAGCGCCUCGUGAAUUCAUCUCCGGGGGUAGAGCACUGUUUCGGCAAGGGGGUCAUCCCGACUUACCAACCCGAUGCAAACUGCGAAUACCGGAGAAUGUUAUCACGGGAGACACACGGCGGGUGCUAACGUCCGUCGUGAAGAGGGAAACAACCCAGACCGCCAGCUAAGGUCCCAAAGUCAUGGUUAAGUGGGAAACGAUGUGGGAAGGCCCAGACAGCCAGGAUGUUGGCUUAGAAGCAGCCAUCAUUUAAAGAAAGCGUAAUAGCUCACUGGUCGAGUCGGCCUGCGCGGAAGAUGUAACGGGGCUAAACCAUGCACCGAAGCUGCGGCAGCGACGCUUAUGCGUUGUUGGGUAGGGGAGCGUUCUGUAAGCCUGCGAAGGUGUGCUGUGAGGCAUGCUGGAGGUAUCAGAAGUGCGAAUGCUGACAUAAGUAACGAUAAAGCGGGUGAAAAGCCCGCUCGCCGGAAGACCAAGGGUUCCUGUCCAACGUUAAUCGGGGCAGGGUGAGUCGACCCCUAAGGCGAGGCCGAAAGGCGUAGUCGAUGGGAAACAGGUUAAUAUUCCUGUACUUGGUGUUACUGCGAAGGGGGGACGGAGAAGGCUAUGUUGGCCGGGCGACGGUUGUCCCGGUUUAAGCGUGUAGGCUGGUUUUCCAGGCAAAUCCGGAAAAUCAAGGCUGAGGCGUGAUGACGAGGCACUACGGUGCUGAAGCAACAAAUGCCCUGCUUCCAGGAAAAGCCUCUAAGCAUCAGGUAACAUCAAAUCGUACCCCAAACCGACACAGGUGGUCAGGUAGAGAAUACCAAGGCGCUUGAGAGAACUCGGGUGAAGGAACUAGGCAAAAUGGUGCCGUAACUUCGGGAGAAGGCACGCUGAUAUGUAGGUGAAGUCCCUCGCGGAUGGAGCUGAAAUCAGUCGAAGAUACCAGCUGGCUGCAACUGUUUAUUAAAAACACAGCACUGUGCAAACACGAAAGUGGACGUAUACGGUGUGACGCCUGCCCGGUGCCGGAAGGUUAAUUGAUGGGGUUAGCCGCAAGGCGAAGCUCUUGAUCGAAGCCCCGGUAAACGGCGGCCGUAACUAUAACGGUCCUAAGGUAGCGAAAUUCCUUGUCGGGUAAGUUCCGACCUGCACGAAUGGCGUAAUGAUGGCCAGGCUGUCUCCACCCGAGACUCAGUGAAAUUGAACUCGCUGUGAAGAUGCAGUGUACCCGCGGCAAGACGGAAAGACCCCGUGAACCUUUACUAUAGCUUGACACUGAACAUUGAGCCUUGAUGUGUAGGAUAGGUGGGAGGCUUUGAAGUGUGGACGCCAGUCUGCAUGGAGCCGACCUUGAAAUACCACCCUUUAAUGUUUGAUGUUCUAACGUUGACCCGUAAUCCGGGUUGCGGACAGUGUCUGGUGGGUAGUUUGACUGGGGCGGUCUCCUCCUAAAGAGUAACGGAGGAGCACGAAGGUUGGCUAAUCCUGGUCGGACAUCAGGAGGUUAGUGCAAUGGCAUAAGCCAGCUUGACUGCGAGCGUGACGGCGCGAGCAGGUGCGAAAGCAGGUCAUAGUGAUCCGGUGGUUCUGAAUGGAAGGGCCAUCGCUCAACGGAUAAAAGGUACUCCGGGGAUAACAGGCUGAUACCGCCCAAGAGUUCAUAUCGACGGCGGUGUUUGGCACCUCGAUGUCGGCUCAUCACAUCCUGGGGCUGAAGUAGGUCCCAAGGGUAUGGCUGUUCGCCAUUUAAAGUGGUACGCGAGCUGGGUUUAGAACGUCGUGAGACAGUUCGGUCCCUAUCUGCCGUGGGCGCUGGAGAACUGAGGGGGGCUGCUCCUAGUACGAGAGGACCGGAGUGGACGCAUCACUGGUGUUCGGGUUGUCAUGCCAAUGGCACUGCCCGGUAGCUAAAUGCGGAAGAGAUAAGUGCUGAAAGCAUCUAAGCACGAAACUUGCCCCGAGAUGAGUUCUCCCUGACCCUUUAAGGGUCCUGAAGGAACGUUGAAGACGACGACGUUGAUAGGCCGGGUGUGUAAGCGCAGCGAUGCGUUGAGCUAACCGGUACUAAUGAACCGUGAGGCUUAACCUU